UACGUAGGGGGCAAGCGUUGUCCGGAUUUAUUGGGCGUAAAGAGCGUGUAGGCGGCCACACAGGUCUGCUGUGAAAACUCGAGGCUCAACCUCGAGCUGUCGGUGGAAACCGUGUGGCUAGAGUCCGGAAGAGGAGAGUGGAAUUCCCGGUGUAGCGGUGAAAUGCGUAGAUAUUGGGAGGAACACCAGUGGCGAAGGCGACUGCCUGGACGGCACCUGACGCUGAGGCGCGAAAGCUAGGGGAGCAAACGGG
RNAcentral lists this ribosomal RNA (253 nucleotides) under uncultured bacterium. RNAcentral describes it as "partial 16S ribosomal RNA". It matches the Rfam family "Bacterial small subunit ribosomal RNA", at positions 524 to 776 of the family's 1533-position model. The record is from RNAcentral.